UCUCCGUAGGUGAACCUGCGGAGGGAUCAUUACAGAGUUCUCGCCCUCGCGGGUAGAUCUCUCACCCACUGUUAUCGUUACUGUGUUGCUUUGGCGGGCCGCCGGGCCCCGCUCGGCCGCCGGCUCCGGCUGGCGCGCGCCCGCCAGAGGCCCAGCAAACUCUGAAUGUUAGUGUCGUCUGAGUACUAUAUAAUAGUUAAAACUUUCAACAACGGAUCUCUUGGUUCUG
RNAcentral lists this unclassified non-coding RNA (229 nucleotides) under plant metagenome. Its description in RNAcentral is "partial contains small subunit ribosomal RNA, internal transcribed spacer 1, and 5.8S ribosomal RNA". The record is from RNAcentral.